This 459-nucleotide ribosomal RNA is filed under the name uncultured bacterium. RNAcentral's name for it is "partial 16S ribosomal RNA". It matches the Rfam family "Bacterial small subunit ribosomal RNA", at positions 338 to 795 of the family's 1533-position model. The record is from RNAcentral.
CCUACGGGAGGCAGCAGUGAGGAAUAUUGGUCAAUGGCCGGAAGUCUGAACCAGCCAAGCCGCGUGAGGGAUGAAGGCGCAGAGCGUCGCAGACCUCUUUUGCCGGGGGACAAAAGGCCGGACUCGUACGCUCCUGAAGGUACCCGGAGAAAAAGCAUCGGCUAACUCCGUGCCAGCAGCCGCGGUAAUACGGAGGGUGCGAGCGUUAUCCGGAUUCAUGGGGUUUAAAGGGUGCGCAGGCGGGCCUUUAAGCCGGCGGUGAAAUCGAGGGGCUCAACCCCGCCGAGCCGUUGAAACUGGGGGCCUUGAGUGCAGGGGAGGCAUGCGGAAUGCGGGGUGUAGCGGUGAAAUGCAUAGAUAUCGCGAAGAACCCCGAUUGCGAAGGCAGCGGGCCGUGCCGCAACUGACGCUGAGGCACGAAAGCGCGGGGAUCGAACAGGAUUAGAUACCCUAGUAGUC